Molecule: non-coding RNA, 182 nt
Filed under: Verrucomicrobiota bacterium
Lineage: Bacteria; Pseudomonadati; Verrucomicrobiota
Also listed under: 1 other name
Description: Verrucomicrobia bacterium (wastewater metagenome) 6S RNA
Rfam family: 6S / SsrS RNA
About the family: E. coli 6S RNA was the first non coding RNA to be sequenced, but its function was unknown until recently. It consists of 184 nucleotides that fold into an extended hairpin structure with a large single-stranded internal bulge.
Source: RNAcentral
UUUACCCUGCCCUGUUCGUGAUUCGCAGCCAAGUCCUUGAACCGUAAAUUAUACGAUACCGGUGUCAACCGCGAUGGUGGCCGACAGGCCUUAACUGGAAGUCGAAAUCCGUCCGGACGGCGCCACAUGUUCUAACCAACAUGUUCAUCGGAUCCGUUGCACACGGCAAUGGUGGGGUCACU